UCGGUUGUGUAAAAGUGCUUAUAGUGCAGGUAGGUCGUGUAACUACUGCCCUGUGAGCACUUCCAACAUGACCAC
Monodelphis domestica (gray short-tailed opossum) is the source of this 75-nucleotide microRNA precursor. It matches the Rfam family "mir-17 microRNA precursor family". From Rfam's summary of the family: This family represents the microRNA (miRNA) precursor mir-17, family, which includes mir-20, mir-91, and mir-103. miRNAs are transcribed as ~70nt precursors (modelled here) and subsequently processed by the Dicer enzyme to give a ~22nt product. In this case the mature sequence comes from the 3' arm of the precursor. The record is from Rfam. Lineage: Eukaryota; Metazoa; Chordata; Mammalia; Didelphimorphia; Didelphidae.